RNAcentral lists this ribosomal RNA (253 nucleotides) under uncultured bacterium. Its description in RNAcentral is "partial 16S ribosomal RNA". It matches the Rfam family "Bacterial small subunit ribosomal RNA", at positions 524 to 776 of the family's 1533-position model. The record is from RNAcentral.
GACAGAGGUCCCGAGCGUUAGGCGGAAUCACUGGGCUUAAAGCGUGUGUAGGCGGAUGCCUAAGUACCUUGUGAAAUCCCACGGCUCACCCGUGGAACUGCUUGGUAUACUGGGUGUCUUGAGCCAUUUAGGGGCUACCGGAACAAAUGGUGGAGCGGUGAAAUGCGUAGAUAUCAUUUGGAACGCCAAUGGUGAAAACAGGUAGCUGGGAGUGUGCUGACGCUGAGACACGAAAGCCAGGGGAGCAAACGGG